GCGGAUACAGUCAGACCAGAGAUCAUGACUGUUAACUUCUCAGUCGCAGUGAGGACAACUUUCAGACACGUCGACCACAGCAGACAAACCGGAAGCUUUUCAGGACCGCAGACCUGCAAGUGACAAGACAGGCUGAAACAAAUUCUCAGAAGAAAAAUGGGUCAAGAUCUUCAAACCUAAUGAUCAACUACUGGAAGUAGAAGUAAGUGUAGUACAUCCAGGACCUGUGUGAGCUGCUACAGACGUACGGGGAUUCCCUGGAAUUCACUCAGUUACUGACCCUGGUUAAUGCAAAAGUGUCAAAGUGUAAAAGUGUAAGUAAAAUGUCUAAACAAUCAGUUUGUUAAAAUGAGCUUGACUAAUUGGUUCCCAAACUCUAACUGCAUGUUCCUGCAGCAUGUAACCAGUGCUGCCAGUUGUACUUGUUCAAAAAGCAGCAGUGUGUUAGUGAAAAAGUGUUAGUGACAAAUCUUCAUGGCUUCACCUCAUUCAUCUGUUCAAGCGGCAGCUGAAGGUGUGUCGAGAGUCUAAGGCGCCUCAGGUCCUCCUCCACCUGAAACACUGUUAGGACGACCGUUAGCGGACGGAGACACAGGUUAAUGGUAUGAUGUACUGUGGAGUUUAUAGGUAAUGGAGAUGACCUCUAUUACAUAUACAAAGAUGUCAUAAGAUGGACUAUUAAAUUCACUGGUAUUUAAAGGUUGGACCAAACGGUUAAAAUUUCAUUUAAUACCUAAAAUCUUUUAAUUAAAAUUUAUUUGAACUGCUUUCUUUUUUUUACUGAGUGAGACAGUUCGUCCUUCAGCUCAUUGAAUUUCUGCACAUUGAAUUUCCUCUUUUUGCCUCGUUUUAUCCUUCUGCUUCACGUCCUCCUUCUCAACAUCAACAUCAGGGUUAUUUGUGUUUAGAAACAAAUGUUUGUACCUGUUUCAGACGGCUGAACGGCAUAAACUGCAUCAGGGAUUUCCUUCCACAUCUUCAGCUGAAUGUUCAGCUGGAAUGGGUCUAAACAGGCCUGAGACAGGAACGCUAGUGGGUGGUACCUCACUGGUAUUUUUCUACAGCAUUUAAAACAAGUUCUGACUAAUUGUCUGGUUGAGUCCAACACCAACAUUCUUACCACAUACACUAGCAGAGUCUCAUACUGUAUAAAUGUGGAACCUGAAAAAGCUGAUUUUCUGCAAACAGUGAUUUUCUAACUCAUAUUCUCUGUAAAUAUUGUGGUUGAUAAACUUAAUGAGUCCAUUUAAUGGGUCACAUUAUUUCACAAUAUGCUUGAUAACAACUUACAAUGUCUCAUAAUAUUAUCUGUUAUUUUGAUUUUUAAAUUCCUCCUACUCCAGAUGUUUUCAUUUCAACUUUUUUUCUUUACUUUCCUCAGUGUUUUUUCAGUUUUAGUCAGAUUUCUUAAGGAACAAACCUGUUUUUCACAGUCUGGGGUCAAUUCCAAAGUCACCAGCGUGACUGUCUGAGUGUCAUUUGUAUUUGUUGCUUCCUCACGUCUGCGCGGGGUCUGUGCGGUAUCAGCACUGGCUGCGCAGCUUCUCACUGUGUUACGCAUCAAGAACGCACAAGGGCAAAAGCCAUUGUUGAAAAAAAGCCAUUGUUGAAAAUGUUUUGUAUCGUUUGUGCCUAUUUAAUUGACAUUAUUGAUACCGUACAUCUGAACCUUUGCUUAAAUAAGGGCGUACGCCAUGUUUUCUUGUGUAAGGACCCUUUGUAUAUGAGCCCUCAGAACAAAUAUUCAACUACAGAGACAAUAUGCAAGAAAACAGAAACAUCAAGACAAAAGAUAAUUUUAUCAGCAAACCAUCAACAAGAACAUGUUUUGCCACUGUUGUCACAGCAAGGUUUUCUUAAUCUUUCUUGUUUAUGUUUUUAUUUUUGCUCCUUAUGCUUUGUGGAACCAAAUACAUCCAAAUAAAUGUUCAGCUUGUUUAACGCUUCCA
This is a long non-coding RNA of Betta splendens (Siamese fighting fish), 1949 nucleotides long. RefSeq lists it as uncharacterized. NCBI's taxonomy places the organism in Eukaryota, Metazoa, Chordata, Actinopteri, Anabantiformes, Osphronemidae. The transcript is spliced from 3 exons. The record is from RefSeq and is a predicted model, not a curated record.